UACGGGGGGAGCAAGCGUUGUUCGGAAUCACUGGGCGUAAAGGGCGCGUAGGCGGUCAGGUAAGUGGGAUGUGAAAGGCUCCGGCUCACCCGGAGACAUGCAUCUCAUACUGCUUGGCUAGAGUGCAGCAGAGGAAACGAGAAUUCCAGGUGUAGCGGUGAAAUGCGUAGAUAUCUGGAGGAAUACCGGUGGCGAAGGCGCGUUUCUGGGCUGUUACUGACGCUGAUGCGCGAUAGCUAGGGGAGCAAACGGG
This 253-nucleotide ribosomal RNA is filed under the name uncultured bacterium. RNAcentral describes it as "partial 16S ribosomal RNA". It matches the Rfam family "Bacterial small subunit ribosomal RNA", at positions 524 to 776 of the family's 1533-position model. The record is from RNAcentral.